AAAGCUCUUUCGGCCGGGAAGAAAGUCGUUAUGGGUUAAUACCCGUGUGCGGAUGACGGUACCGGCAUAAGAAGCACCGGCUAACUACGUGCCAGCAGCCGCGGUAAUACGUAGGGUGCGAGCGUUAAUCGGAAUUACUGGGCGUAAAGCGUGCGCAGGCGGUUUUGUAAGACAGGCGUGAAAUCCCCGGGCUCAACCUGGGAACUGCGUUUGUGACUGCAAGGCUAGAGUACGGCAGAGGGGGGUGAAUUCCACGUGUAGCAGUGAAAUGCGUAGAGAUGUGGAGGAACACCAAUGGCGAAGGCAGCCCCCUGGGUCGAUACUGACGCUCAUGCACGAAAAGCGUGGGUAGCAAACAGGAUUAGAUACCCCUGGUAGUCCACGCCCUAAAACGAUGUCAACUAGGUGUUGGGUGGGUAAAACCAUUUAGUACCGGAGCUAACGCGUGAAGUUGACCGCCUGGGGAGUACGGCCGCAAGGUUAAAACUCAAAGGAAUUGACGGGG
RNAcentral lists this ribosomal RNA (505 nucleotides) under uncultured bacterium. RNAcentral describes it as "bacterial SSU rRNA". It matches the Rfam family "Bacterial small subunit ribosomal RNA", at positions 427 to 918 of the family's 1533-position model. The record is from RNAcentral.